This 669-nucleotide ribosomal RNA is filed under the name uncultured bacterium. Its description in RNAcentral is "bacterial SSU rRNA". It matches the Rfam family "Bacterial small subunit ribosomal RNA", at positions 140 to 807 of the family's 1533-position model. The record is from RNAcentral.
GGGACAACCCGCCGAAAGGCGGGCUAAACCCGCGUACAUGCCACCGGGGCAUCCCGGAGGCAGGAAAGGCUUCGGCCGGACAGGGAUGGGCAUGCGGCGCAUUAGGCAGUAGGCGGGGUAACGGCCCACCUAACCGACGAUGCGUAGGGGUCCUGAGAGGAAGGUCCCCCACACUGGUACUGAGACACGGACCAGACUCCUACGGGAGGCAGCAGUGAGGAAUAUUGGUCAAUGGUCGGGAGACUGAACCAGCCAAGCCGCGUGAGGGAGGAAGGUACAGAGUAUCGUAAACCUCUUUUGUCAGGGAACAAAGACUGGGACGCGUCCCCGGAUGAGUGUACCUGAAGAAAAAGCAUCGGCUAACUCCGUGCCAGCAGCCGCGGUAAUACGGAGGAUGCGAGCGUUAUCCGGAUUUAUUGGGUUUAAAGGGUGCGCAGGCGGUCUGUUAAGUCAGCGGUCAAAGCCCGGGGCUCAACCCCGGCCCGCCGUUGAAACUGGCAGUCUCGAGUUGGAGAGAAGUAUGCGGAAUGCGCGGUGUAGCGGUGAAAUGCAUAGAUAUCGCGCAGAACUCCGAUUGCGAAGGCAGCAUGCCGGCUCCACACUGACGCUGAGGCACGAAAGCGUGGGUAUCGAACAGGAUUAGAUACCCUGGUAGUCCACGCAGUAAAC